AUCCAGCUGACGAAUCCCAAAUAGGACGAAAUGCGCUUCCUAGAU
Molecule: non-coding RNA, 45 nt
Organism: Schistosoma rodhaini
Lineage: Eukaryota; Metazoa; Platyhelminthes; Trematoda; Strigeidida; Schistosomatidae
Source: Rfam